Molecule: transfer RNA, 639 nt
Filed under: Bradyrhizobium sp. TUTCSA1C
Lineage: Bacteria; Pseudomonadati; Pseudomonadota; Alphaproteobacteria; Hyphomicrobiales; Nitrobacteraceae
Description: partial 16S-23S ribosomal RNA intergenic spacer
Rfam family: tRNA (bases 135-208)
Source: RNAcentral
AUUGUUGAGCUCCAUUGGCGGGAUUUCGCCGUCUUCGUUUCUCUUUCUUCGCGGACGAACACGCGCCAGGGGCUGAGCGCUGAGCGGUGCAUCGACUUCACGUCAGGUGCGCGCCGGCAUGUCUCUCGUGUUAGGGGCUUGUAGCUCAGUUGGUUAGAGCGCGCGCUUGAUAAGCGUGAGGUCGGAAGUUCAAGUCUUCCCAGGCCCACCAGCCUUCGCGCUUCGCUGCUUCGGCUAGGCAAGCCCUUCGAGAUGAAGGCUGCUGCGCCGCAGCCUUGGCGAAGGCGAGCGGGUAUCAACAAUGCGCUUCGUCUUCUGGUACGGGGCCAUAGCUCAGCUGGGAGAGCGCGUGCUUUGCAAGCAUGAGGUCGUCGGUUCGAUCCCGUCUGGCUCCACCAGAUGGAAUUGAAGCUCGAGAAUGCGCCUUGUGCAGGAAGCUCUGUUCAUGUCGUCCGCGAAACAUCACUUCGCACUCAUUGGUCCGGAUGGACGGUGACGUGCGUGUUUUCUGACAUCGUAAAGAGGAGAUCGAUCCGAGUUUGGAUCUGCGAAGCAAUUCGCGGGUACCAUUCCUAAUCUCCAGAUCGUUUUCGGCGCUCGCGCAUCGCGGCUCAUCGCAAGAUGAGUGGGAUGAUCGAG